RNAcentral lists this ribosomal RNA (556 nucleotides) under Trigonopterus arachnobas. Its description in RNAcentral is "partial large subunit ribosomal RNA". It matches the Rfam family "Bacterial large subunit ribosomal RNA", at positions 1804 to 2626 of the family's 2925-position model. The record is from RNAcentral. Lineage: Eukaryota; Metazoa; Arthropoda; Insecta; Coleoptera; Curculionidae.
UUAUUAAAAACAUGGCUUAUUGAUUAAGAUUUUAAGUUUGACCUGCCCAAUGAUGGAUUAAAUGGCCGCGGUAUAUUGACCGUGCAAAGGUAGCAUAGUCAUUAGUUUUUUAAUUGGAAGCUUGUAUGAAAGGUUUGAUGAGAAAAAGGCUGUCUCUGAAGAAGUUUAUUAGAAUUUUAUUUUUAAGUGAAAAAGCUUAGAUAUUUAUGGAAGACGAGAAGACCCUGUAGAGUUUAAUAAAUAAUAAAUUAGUUUGAGGUUAAGGAUGUAUAUAAUUUUUUAGAAUUGUUUUUAUUUAUUUUGUUGGGGUGAUAGGAAAAUUUAUUAAACUUUUCUUUAUUUUUAUAUUGAUUUAUAGGUGUAUGAUCCUUGUUGAAAAGAUUAGAAGAAUAAAUUACCUCAGGGAUAACAGCGUUAUUUUUUUUAGAGUUCUUAUCGAAAAAAUAGAUUGCGACCUCGAUGUUGGAUUAAAAUUUACUAUUGGUGUAGUAGCUGAUAAGUUGGGUCUGUUCGACCUUUAAAAUUUUACAUGAUCUGAGUUUAAACCGGUGUGAGC